CCUACGGGAGGCAGCAGUGGGGAAUAUUGGACAAUGGGGGCAACCCUGAUCCAGCCAUGCCGCGUGUGUGAAGAAGGCCCUCGGGUUGUAAAGCACUUUCAGUGAGGAAGAACGCCUGGUGGUUAAUACCCAUCAGGAAAGACAUCACUCACAGAAGAAGCACCGGCUAACUCCGUGCCAGCAGCCGCGGUAAUACGGAGGGUGCGAGCGUUAAUCGGAAUUACUGGGCGUAAAGCGCGCGUAGGUGGCUUGAUAAACCGGUUGUGAAAGCCCCGGGCUCAACCUGGGAACGGCAUCCGGAACUGUCAAGCUAGAGUGCAGGAGAGGAAGGUAGAAUUCCCGGUGUAGCGGUGAAAUGCGUAGAGAUCGGGAGGAAUACCAGUGGCGAAGGCGGCCUUCUGGACUGACACUGACACUGAGGUGCGAAAGCGUGGGUAGCAAACAGGAUUAGAUACCCUAGUAGUC
RNAcentral lists this ribosomal RNA (465 nucleotides) under Vreelandella stevensii. RNAcentral describes it as "partial 16S ribosomal RNA". It matches the Rfam family "Bacterial small subunit ribosomal RNA", at positions 338 to 795 of the family's 1533-position model. Lineage: Bacteria; Pseudomonadati; Pseudomonadota; Gammaproteobacteria; Oceanospirillales; Halomonadaceae. The record is from RNAcentral.